UACGUAGGGUGCAAGCGUUGUCCGGUUUUAUUGGGUUUAAAGGGUGCGUAGGUGGCUGUUUAAGUCAUGGGUGAACGCCCACAGCUCAACUGUGGAACUGCCUGUGAUACUGAAUAGCUUGAGUGCGGUUGAGGCAGCUGGAAUUGGUGGGGUAGCGGUGAAGUGCAUAGAUACCACCAGGAACACCGAUUGCGAAGGCAGGUUGCUAAGCCGUAACUGACACUGAGGCACGAUAGCGUGGGGAUCAUACAGA
Molecule: ribosomal RNA, 253 nt
Filed under: uncultured bacterium
Lineage: Bacteria
Description: partial 16S ribosomal RNA
Rfam family: Bacterial small subunit ribosomal RNA
Source: RNAcentral